This 253-nucleotide ribosomal RNA is filed under the name uncultured bacterium. RNAcentral's name for it is "partial 16S ribosomal RNA". It matches the Rfam family "Bacterial small subunit ribosomal RNA", at positions 524 to 776 of the family's 1533-position model. The record is from RNAcentral.
UACGGAGGGAGCUAGCGUUGUUCGGAAUUACUGGGCGUAAAGCGCACGUAGGCGGCUUUGUAAGUUAGAGGUGAAAGCCCGGGGCUCAACCCCGGAAUUGCCUUUAAGACUGCAUCGCUUGAAUCCAGGAGAGGUGAGUGGAAUUCCGAGUGUAGAGGUGAAAUUCGUAGAUAUUCGCAAGAACACCAGUGGCGAAGGCGGCCGACUGGUCCGGUUCUGACGCUGAGGCGCGAAAGCGUGGGGAGCAAACAGG